CGCUGAUGCUACUUCAUGGCGGUGGUCGCAGUCGGUGAGGCUUCGUCGUCUGAAAUCUGACAGAGGUUAAUUCGCACUAUCAAGCGUCGUCGAUUGAAAUUGAACAUGUGUUGGUUUCAAAAUGGAAGCAGGUUGCGUGAUCUGCGUCAUGGAAUGUUAACGAAGGAGAUGAGAACAGUGUGGUGUGCGACCCAACGAAUUCGAAUCAGAUGUGUCGAAUGGAUCGAGUUGGGGCCACUGCAUUGCACAGCAGCAAAAUUGAUUAUCAUAUGAAGAACGGUGCUGUACACAUAAAACACAUGGACACGUAACAGGCCGAGCAUAUUUUCGGCUCCAGUGUGAUGGAAGCAGAAAUGGUGUUGCCGUUUGGUUUGUAAGAUCAUGGAUGUGGUGAAGAGUCACUAAUUGUUCGACGAGUGCACGCGUGUUGGUCUGAUGGAAUAACCCAGCGUCACCGAAAUGUUUCCGCCCACCUCCAAGUUGCCCACGUCGUUGCCGACGAGUAUGGAUGAUCGAUCGCAGGAUCUGGUAAUUCAGAUGCUGAAUCUUCUCGCAAGCGAAAGCAGCUGCAGAGGCACUUCUACCUGUUUGGGGCACAGGGACCCCUCAUGUAUAAGAAGCGAAACUGGUCGUCAGGUUCGAUCAACGCAGCUGAUUGCUCGAAUAGAGGUGCUUCUCGACCUGCAACAACUCCAGAGAGGUGGGUGAGGAUUAGUGAUGGCGCCUGAUUUGCAAGGUAUGGGUGGAGGCGGGGACGACAAGCGCCGGACGGUGCACGAGGAGGUACCACUAGUGCACAAAGUGCACGUGCCUCCUCGGGGCGGGCUCGUGAAGGACGUGAGCCACGGGCUAUGGGAGACGUUCUUCCAUGAUGCUCCCCUGAGACAGUUCAAAGGGCAGAGCAAACACUCCAAAAGCUGGUUGGGGCUGAAGUUUGUCUUCCCCUUGCUGGAAUGGAUCACCACGUACACUCCCAGGAUGUUUGUUAGCGAUUUCAUUGCCGGCCUCACCAUCGCCAGUCUUGCCAUUCCCCAGGACCUCGGCUAUGCGAAGCUCGCUGGAGUGCCCUCUGUAAAUGGACUUUAUUCGAGUUUCGUGCCGCCCUUGGUCUAUGCCUUGCUCGGUAGUUCCCGUGACAUUGCCAUUGGUCCCGUGGCUGUGGUAUCACUUCUCUUGGGAACUUUGUUGAAGCAAGAGCUGAGUCCCACGAAGCAGCCACAACUUUACUUGCAACUGGCGUUCACGGCGACCUUCUUCGCUGGUCUCUUCCAGACAGCUUUGGGCCUCUUGCGGCUAGGUUUCGUCAUUCAGUUCCUCUCGCAUGCGGCGAUUGUGGGUUUCAUGGCGGGUGCGGCUGUUACCAUCUCCUUGCAACAGCUGAAGGGGUUGCUGAACAUAACGCACUUCACCACGGACACGGACUUCAUUUCCGUCAUGACGUCUGUCUUUCAAAACACUAAUGAGUGGAACUGGCGAUCGAUCGUGAUUGGGCUUGCUUUCUUAUCAUUUCUCGUGCUCACAAAGAUCCUGGCUAAGAAGAAACCUAAGUUGUUUUGGGUUUCUGCUAUUUCACCUCUUAUUUCGGUGGUUCUUGCGACAUUGUUCGUGUUUAUCUUCAGGGUGGACAAGUACGGCGUCAAAGUGGUUGGGAACAUCAAGAAAGGGGUGAACCCAUCGUCAGCAGAUCAGAUAUUUUUUACUGGAAAAUACGUCACAGCAGGAGCGAAAAUCGGUUUCGUUGCGGCUCUUAUUGCACUUACCGAGGGUGUUGCAAUUGGACGAACUUUUGCGGCGCUGCGAGACUACCACAUUGAUGGAAACAAGGAGAUGAUUGCCUUCGGUAUCAUGAACAUUUGUGGCUCAGUCACUUCAUGCUAUGUUGCAACUGGGUCAUUCUCCAGGUCGGCCGUAAAUUACCAGGCAGGAGUCAAGACAGCCAUGUCCAACAUCGUCAUGGCCAUUGUGGUACUCAUUACACUGGUGGCACUCACCCCCUUAUUCAAGUACACCCCAAAUACCAUCCUCGCCGCCAUCAUCAUCUCCGCUGUCAUCUCUUUGGUCGACUUCAAAGCAGCAUGGCUUAUAUGGAAGAUUGACAAGUUCGACUUCCUGGCUACUUUGGGUGCUUUCUUUGGCGUUUUCUUCGUCUCUGUAGAGAUCGGUCUUCUUGUUGCUGUCUGCAUCUCCUUCGUCAAAAUCCUUUUCAACGUCACUCGACCCCACACCGCUCGCUUGGGAAAUAUCCCUGGGACAAAAGUGUACCGAAACAUUUUGCAAUAUCCGGACGCUACUCUUCCACAUGGCAUUGUUGCUGUUCGUCUUGACGCUGCCAUUUACUUCUCCAACUCACAGUAUAUCCAUGACAAGGUCCUCCGAUAUCUAGAGGAUGAGACCGAAAGGGUGGCUAAGACGGGCGGCCCUCGUAUUGAGUACCUCAUCGUUGACUUGACUCCUGUGACAAACAUUGAUACAAGUGGGAUCAUCGCCUUCGAGGAGCUCCACAGGAUACUAGUUAAACGAAACGUUCAGUUGGCGUUUGCAAACCCAGGAUCUCAAGUCAUCCAGAAGUUUGACAGUUCCGGUUACUUAACAACCCUUGGAUCGGAGUGGAUAUUUUUCUCAGUAGCUGAAGGUGUCCAAGUCUGCUCCGUGCUGUUGAACAAAUCUGCGGCUGAACGAUCUGUUUAGACAAAAUUACUGUCUCAUUUGAUUUUGCAUGCUUUUCUAGUCUGCUCGAAUGAGCACUUUUCUGAUUCUGACUGAACAAGAAUGUGUAAUUCACGUCCAAUGCGACUCUAAACAUUCUUUCAGGACAGAAUUCAGAAACUGACCAACGUUGUGUGAAAUAGGUUUCUCCUUUCAGAACUUUGAGAACAAAGUUCCUUCAAAUCCCAUAGAACCCACUAUUGUUAGACGUGACUAAAUACAGUCAUCUUGUGGGAGGCUUUCCGAGAAUUCAAAAAGUUCAAAUUACUAUUUGUAAUACAAGGGCACGGCCACCCCCUACAGCCACGCAUUUCCACGGCAAAGCACUGGAUGCCUCCGUAGAGGUUUCAUUCGUCUUUAGGAUGAGAAAUAGUACCGAUCGUCGGUCUUCUUCUCAUCCAUCCUCGGGAUGACCCAUUCCCAACAAAAACAAAACAGCCUCGUCUGGCUAAGACAAGGCUCUCCUCUUCGCUUCGCCCGCAUCUGCUUGCCUCGUCUGCCGCUUGCCGAGAGCCUCGUGGCUCCUCGCUUCGACGCAUGCUUCCAUGCUGUGAAGCUGCUCUCUUUGGUGUAAUCAGUGCUGUGGGUGGAGUAAGUUGCAGUCAUAUCUGUUGUCGCCGUGCUUCUUCUCACCGUAGCGUAUUGCUCAAAUCUGCUCGGAUCAGAGAAUGGUCUGCUGAGCAAGUGCCGGCUUGCAGGGACUGCCGCGUGGGCGCUAGUGUUUGAGGAUCGCAUCGUCAGAGCCGAGCUGAUGCGUAGUUUGUGAUGAUAUCGAGUCUACUUGGAAGGUUCGGAUCCACAGCAGCUUGGCUCCCCUGCAUGUGUCGGUUCGGGGUUUGCAGGUAGGGUUGAGUUGCAGAUUCCUAGGCUUUUGCGAGUCGUUAAGGAGCAGCUGUACCUGUGUCUAUACUGGGUGUUUCUUCGGGCUUAUUGUUUCAGAUUGCUCUACCGGUACGAGUUUUGUUUGUAGUUUGUGGGGCGGCCGUGCCUGUGUCGGUAAGGGUUGAGUGUUGGUUCCCCUGCUUUGACGAUUUGCUGAGUAGCAUCUAUACUUGUGUCUGUAGUGGGUGUUUCUUCGUGCUUGUUGUUUCAGAUUGCUGCCGCGGUUCGAGUUUUGUUUGGUUUUGUGCGGUGGCCGUGAGGAAUUUAGGAUUGGCGUAAUGGUUAUGUCCCGGAUAGUGUUAUGUAGUGGUUAAGGCACUUUUUAGCACAUUGUACACAUAUGUAUAGAUUGUCUGAAGUUGGGGCGACUAUAUCUCUUCAUGCUAGACACAUUUAUAGGCUACAGUAGAUGUUAGACAAGAUGUAUUGUGUUCAGUAUUUAGUGUGGUUGUCAUGGAGACUUAAUCACAAGAAUUCGGGCCGCUCAAAACUAUACCAUUAUUAUGUUUUAAUUAUGGUAUAUAUAAUUUUAAAGAAUGUUGGGUGCUAUGUCUAGAUGAAUACAUUAACAAGUAUAAAUUGGGAAUAAAUAUAAGACUAAUGUAUUAAUGAAGGAUUUGGGUGGUAAAGAAAUGUUAAUAUAGACAUUUGAGUUGGCAUUGAUGUGUUUGGGGAUGGUUGAUGUGUUUGGAGAUAUUUGAUAUAUGGUGGAAACAAGACAAACAUUUAGGUGAGAUGGUUAUUUGUGGGAUAUUUUAGUGAUUUGGUAGAAAAUAUUACAUUGUUUUAGUAUGUAUUUUAGGUGUUAUAGUAUAUAAAUACAAUGAUGAUUAUGAUUUGUAAAAAAGUAUAGGAUUUAUAAAUAGAGGUGUUGUGAUUUUAAUAUGUAAAAGAUUGAUUAUUUGAAUGAAGAUGUAGAAUGUUAAUAGGUGGCAUUACUUGAAGGGUUGAAGAUAUUUUGUUGUGAUGUUUUGUUGUGAUUCUUGUAAAUAUUAUGAUGGAAUAUAAAACAAGGUAAUUUUAUAUGA
Molecule: non-coding RNA, 4616 nt
Organism: Physcomitrium patens
Lineage: Eukaryota; Viridiplantae; Streptophyta; Bryopsida; Funariales; Funariaceae
Source: RefSeq, a predicted model, not a curated record